This 276-nucleotide ribosomal RNA is filed under the name uncultured bacterium. RNAcentral describes it as "partial 16S ribosomal RNA". It matches the Rfam family "Bacterial small subunit ribosomal RNA", at positions 335 to 604 of the family's 1533-position model. The record is from RNAcentral.
UCCCUACGGGGCGCAGCAGUAGGGAAUCUUCCACAAUGGGCGAAAGCCUGAUGGAGCAACGCCGCGUGGGUGAAGAAGGUCUUCGGAUCGUAAAACCCUGUUGUUAGAGAAGAAAGUGCGUGAGAGUAACUGUUCACGUUUCGACGGUAUCUAACCAGAAGGCCACGGCUAACUACGUGCCAGCAGCCGCGGUAAUACGUAGGGGGCAAGCGUUAUCCGGAUUUACUGGGUGUAAAGGGAGCGCAGACGGCAGUGCAAGUCUGUAUUGAAAGCCCG